AUGCUGGUUCUAGACAACAACCUACUAUCUACCCUGACGUUAUCAGCUUUGGAUGGCCUGAGUAACUUGCAGGAACUCUACCUGAGGAACAACGAGCUGGAGCUUCUGCCCUCUGAUGUGUUCAUCAACCUGCCCAAGCUUUCACAGCUGGCACUCAGCGGAAACCGCCUGAAGAUGGUUGAUGGAAACAUGUUCACCCAUAUGCCUGGUAAGAUAACUGCCAGCCUGACUUUUCCCUGUCCUAUUUUCCCAGGAAUUAGAGUGUAACUUAAACAAGUAUUGGCAGCAGGAUGCUGUUGUCGUGAUAAUCAUUUUUUCUGACCUGUCUUAGUUCUAAAGAAGCUGUACCUCCAUGACAACCCUUGGCAGUGUGACUGUAACAUUAGCCCACUGGUGCGGUGGAUGGGAGACACCAAGGCCAUACUUUCACCACGGCACAGCCUAAAGUGCGUGACUCCUCAAGAGCUCAGAAAUAAGAGCCUCAGCAGCCUGCAAAUUGAUAAACUGCUCUGUCACACUUAACAGUAUAGAUGAGGAUCACAGCGUGGGCUGGGACUCAUAGAGAUUUUUUUUUGAGUAGACUGGGUGGCAGAAUAAUCCUCUAUGAUAUUUUUAAACUGCAAUAUAUUACUGUCUUUCUCUAAAAUAUUGUAUUAUGUUUGCUUUAAAUGGCUAAAAUUCUAGAAUAAAAUGCCACAUUUUUCUGUGAUGCUUUGUUUUAUAAUAACAUAAUAUAAUAAUAAUAUUACUCUUUAUUUAGGUUUCUCACAAAAGUGGUGUUGGAUGUUUUCCAAUUUUAGUAAAUGGUAAUUUUUCCACUCAAAGCGCUUUAUGAAACUUGCCUCAUUCACACAACCACUUUUAACUAUGCUUUUUCUACAUAAGCGCUUUCUAUCUAACAUUCACACACAUUCACAAACCGAUGGAGAGCAACUUGGGGUUAGUGUUUUGCCCCAAAAUUAUUUGACAUGCUGAUUGGAAAACCUAGGGAUUAGAAGAUCGCCUGCUCUGCCUGGUAAAAUAACUGCCAGCCUGCCUGGUUUACCUCCUGAGCUACAGCCACCCUCAACUUUGACCCUUACUUUUUUUUUUUUUUUUUUUUUUUUACCAUGGUCUCUUUAAUAGCAGGUAAAACCCUUAAAAUCACUAAACCUGUAGGUAUAAGCUAUUUGUGGGACAGAAAGUUUUGCAUUAUCAGUGCUAUUUCCACAUGCAAAGAAUAAGUACUAACCCUUAUCACCGGUUGUGAGAUUAACAUUAUAAUUCCAUAUUGCUUGUCUUAAAAAGACUUUGCAGGUUUGGAAAGUGAUGGAUUACGUAUAAAGGGAUUACAUUAAUCACAUUCCAGGAAAUGGUUUCUCUAAUCUGUUACAGUUUAUGUAAAUAAAAAGGAAAAGAAAGGCAUUUGGAUAGACACUGCUAGGAUUCUGCACAGCUUAAUGUAAUAGUGAAGACAGCUGUAGAUAAUGAGAAGUUAUUGGAUUUGUAAUCUUGUCUUCAUUUUAAUGUGCAUCAGCACAUUAAAACAGCACAUAGAGACCCCAAGUCCUCUUGUUUAGCCUUUUGCCCAAUUACCCGGUUGCAAAGAUUUGUUGCUUGUGCAGCCUAAAAAGCACCAUAGUCAUAUCCAUAUCUUGGACUGGAUGACACUGAACCCAAAAACUAUGCAAACUCUAAGACCAUUAAACUCAAUCUGUUUGUACUGUUGCAUUAUAUUUUCAAUUUCAAUAAAUGUGUGUGCCAAGUUUUUGUAAAUUUUGUGCUCGAUCUUUAUUAUGAAGAUAAUCAUUUGUUUGCAUGUAAUGUCCUCAUAAUGUUUUUCUGAAGUUAUGCUGUUUUUCAUAUGGUGAAACAUCCUGCAAAGCAAAUUAAAUUAUAACUAGAAAAAUUUGCAUUUCCUGCGAAAAUGCUGUGUGGAUGCUUUAAAGCUGAAGCUGUCUGCUGAAACUAGCUGAAAAAGCUGAAAAGUUGCAGAAAUUGUAAAAACUUUGCAGAAGCAAAGGAACUUUGCUAAAAUGUAGUAACUUAGCAGAACUGUAAUAUCUUAGAGGAAACAUAAUACUUGGCAGAAAUACAAUAGCAUAGCAGAACUUAGCAGAAAUAUUGUAACUUACCAGAAACAUGAUAACUUCUCAAAAAUACAAGAAUUUAGGAGAAAUAGUAUAAGAUAACAGAAAGAAUAUAUUUAGCCAAACAUUCUUAAACAUUACAGAAAUACUAUGAUUUAGAAAAACAGUACAACAUAGCAGAAAUGCUGUGAUUUACCAGAGACACUGUAAUGAACUAUGAAUAUUGUAAUUUUAUAUAAAUACUAUGUUUUAGCAAAAAUACUCCAGUUUAGCACAAAUAUUAUAACAUAGCAGAAAUACUAUUCUAUAGCAGAAAUGCUAUAUUUAGAAAGAAAAAUAUAAUAUAGUAGAAAUACUAUGAUUUAGCAGAAAUCCUACAAUAUAGCUUAACAACAAUGAUUUAGAACAGAUACUAUGAUUGAGCAGAAUAAUAAUAACUUAAGUGAAAAUAUUGGAAAGGUAAAAUGAUAAGCUGAAUAAAAAGGAACAUGGUUAAGUUCGCUGAAAACUAAUUUUUGUUCACCUGUGAAAAAACAAAAUAAAAAUACAUUUAGAAAAAAAAACAAAUAAGAACAGCCAACAGAUAUACACAAAAUCAAAUAUGGAUACACAAAUCACCAAAUACACAGAAAAUGAAAUAUGGAUACACAAAUGUACAGAGAGAGACACACACACAGGGUCUAUGCCAGUCAACCAGUCUGAAUAUAUUAUAUUUUUAUCCAAUAAUGAGAUGCUGCCCUAAAAAGGGUCUUUGUGUGUGUGUCUUUCUUUCUCUCUCUCUCUCUCUUACACACACACACACACACACACACAGCAGCAGCAGCAGCAAGU
Long non-coding RNA from Oreochromis niloticus (Nile tilapia), 2900 nucleotides. Lineage: Eukaryota; Metazoa; Chordata; Actinopteri; Cichliformes; Cichlidae. The record is from Ensembl.